CCUACGGGAGGCAGCAGUGAGGAAUAUUGGUCAAUGGACGAGAGUCUGAACCAGCCAAGUAGCGUGAAGGAUGACUGCCCUAUGGGUCGCAAACUUCUUUUAUCAAGGAAUAAAACGCGGCACGUGUGCCUUCCUGCAUGUACUCUAUGAAUAAGGAUCGGCUAACUCCGUGCCAGCAGCCGCGGUAAUACGGAGGAUCCGAGCGUUAUCCGGAUUUAUUGGGUUUAAAGGGUGCGCAGGCGGUCAUGUAAGUUAGGGGUGAAAGCUCGAUGCUCAACCUCGAAACUGCCUCUGAUACUGUCGGACUUGAGUGUAGUUGCGGAAGGCGGAAUGUGUGGUGUAGCGGUGAAAUGCUUAGAUAUCGCACAGAACACCGAUUGCGAAGGCAGCUUGCCAAGCUAUUACUGACGCUGAGGCACGAAAGCGUGGGGAGCGAACAGGAUUAGAUACCCCAGUAGUC
RNAcentral lists this ribosomal RNA (460 nucleotides) under uncultured bacterium. RNAcentral describes it as "partial 16S ribosomal RNA". It matches the Rfam family "Bacterial small subunit ribosomal RNA", at positions 338 to 795 of the family's 1533-position model. The record is from RNAcentral.